Molecule: ribosomal RNA, 301 nt
Filed under: uncultured bacterium
Lineage: Bacteria
Description: partial 16S ribosomal RNA
Rfam family: Bacterial small subunit ribosomal RNA
Source: RNAcentral
CAGUCGCCACGGGAACACGUAGGGUGCGAGCGUUAAUCGGAAUUACUGGGCGUAAAGCGUGCGCAGGCGGUUCUGUAAGACAGGCGCGAAAUCCCCGGGCUCAACCUGGGAAUGGCGCUUGUGACUGCGAAGCUAGAGUGCGGCAGAGGGGGAUGGAAUUCCGCGUGUAGCAGUGAAAUGCGUAGAUAUGCGGAGGGACACCGAUGGCGAAGGCAAUCCCCUGGGCCUGCACUGACGCUCAUGCACGAAAGCGUGGGGAGCAAACAGGAUUAGAUACCCCUGUAGUCCCUGUCUCUUAUAC